UCGCUGUGUGUUACAAGUGUCACACGGUACUGCCGGUCUUAAGCCGGAGGAAGUGGGGAUGACGUCAAGUCAGCAUGGCCUUUAUGUCCUGGGCUACACACACGCUACAAUGGCCAACACAAUAGGUUGCUAAGCCGCGAGGUGGAGCCAAUCCUCAAAGUUGGUACUCAGUUCAGAUUGCAGGCUGCAACCCGCCUGCAUGAAGAUGGAGUUGCUAGUAACCGCAGGUCAGCUAUACUGCGGUGAAUACGUUCCCGGGCCUU
This 263-nucleotide ribosomal RNA is filed under the name uncultured Leptolinea sp. RNAcentral describes it as "partial 16S ribosomal RNA". It matches the Rfam family "Bacterial small subunit ribosomal RNA", at positions 1105 to 1382 of the family's 1533-position model. The record is from RNAcentral. Lineage: Bacteria; Bacillati; Chloroflexota; Anaerolineae; Anaerolineales; Anaerolineaceae.